UUGCCCCUCCCUGGAAGUACGCAACAACUAUGCAUGCACAAAUUAUUGUAAAUAUAUUUUAAUGUAUCGUUUCAUUGUAAAGGGGUUGAAUGUCAAUUGGGUCAAAAGGGAUUGAAUGUCAAAAGUUUGUCCCGUUUUCAUUCACUGCCACAAACUGUAACUACUGUUUGUUACAUGUUUUGUAUUGAAUCUGUGGUACAUCUAUUAAACUAAACUAUAAAAAAUAGGUGUAGGGUAAGAUCUCCUUAAACAUUCUGACCUAAAAAAGCUAUAUGUGCA
Paramuricea clavata is the source of this 279-nucleotide non-coding RNA. NCBI's taxonomy places the organism in Eukaryota, Metazoa, Cnidaria, Anthozoa, Malacalcyonacea, Plexauridae. The record is from the annotation of a GenBank genome assembly.